UCGCCCUUAGGAGUUUGAUCCUGGCUCCAGACGGACGCUGGGCGGCGUGCCUAACACAUGCAAGUCGAGCGAAAGAACAGGGAGAUAGCUUGCUAUCGACUGUUUACUUAGCGGCGGACGGGUGAGUAACGCGUGGGGAAUCUGCCUCAAGCAGAGGAAUACNACAGGGAAGCUUGUGCUAAUGCCUCAUAAGACCACAUAAUGGCAUCAUUAAGUGAUCAAAGGUAAAACCGGCUUGAGAGGAGCCCGCGUCUGAUUAGCUAGUUGGUAAGGUAAAGGCUUACCAAGGCGACGAUCAGUAGCCGAACUGAGAGGUUGAUCGGCCACAUUGGGACUGAGACACGGCCCAGACUCCUACGGGAGGCAGCAGUGGGGAAUAUUGCACAAUGGGGGGAACCCUGAUGCAGCAACGCCGCGUGAAGGAAGAAGGCCUUAGGGUUGUAAACUUCUUUGACCAGGGAAGAAAAAAAUGACGGUACCUGGAAAACAAGCCACGGCUAACUACGUGCCAGCAGCCGCGGUAAUACGUAGGUGGCGAGCGUUGUCCGGAUUUACUGGGUGUAAAGGGCGUGUAGGCGGGCAUGUAAGUCAGAUGUGAAAUACCGGGGCUCAGCUCCGGGGCUGCAUCUGAAACUGCAUAUCUUGAGUGUUGGAGGGGAAAGUGGAAUUCCUAGUGUAGCGGUGAAAUGCGUAGAUAUUAGGAGGAACACCAGUGGCGAAGGCGGCUUUCUGGCCAAACACUGACGCUGAGGCGCGAAAGCGUGGGGAGCAAACAGGAUUAGAUACCCUGGUAGUCCACGCCGUAAACGAUGAUAACUCGCUGUCGGCGAUACACAGUCGGUGGCCAAGCGAAAGCAUUAAGUUAUCCACCUGGGGAGUACGACCGCAAGGUUGAAACUCAAAGGAAUUGACGGGGACCCGCACAAGCAGCGGAGCAUGUGGUUUAAUUCGAUGCAACGCGAAGAACCUUACCAGGGCUUGACAUAUAUGCGCUAGCACUAGAGAUAGUGGGUUCUCUUCGGAGACGCAUAUACAGGUGGUGCAUGGUUGUCGUCAGCUCGUGUCGUGAGAUGUUGGGUUAAGUCCCGCAACGAGCGCAACCCAUAUUUCUAGUUGCUACUCGCAAGAGAGCUCUCUAGAGAGACUGCCGGGGACAACCCGGAGGAAGGUGUGGAUGACGUCAAGUCCUCAUGGCCCUUACAUCCUGGGCUACACACGUGCUACAAUGGUCGGUACAAAGGGCAGCAAAACCGUGAGGUGGAGCGAAUCCUCAAAGCCGGCCUCAGUUCGGAUUGGAGUCUGCAACUCGACUCCAUGAAGCUGGAAUCGCUAGUAAUCGUGGGUCAGCAUACCACGGUGAAUACGUUCCCGGGCCUUGUACUCACCGCCCGU
This 1392-nucleotide ribosomal RNA is filed under the name uncultured bacterium. RNAcentral's name for it is "16S ribosomal RNA". It matches the Rfam family "Bacterial small subunit ribosomal RNA". The record is from RNAcentral.